ACAAGCUGUUGGAUUGCGUACCAAUUAUAAUCAGCACAUGAAUGUCACAAAGUCUCUAGUUGUUGAACAAAAAAAUGGAUUGAAUUUUAAGCUCUUAGGUUUUAGGAUGGGAUGGUCCUGCUACACUAUAUAUAUACAUAUAUAUAUAUGAAGGACACACCAAUUCCUCUUACUGAUAUUGCCUUACAUUAUUCUUCUGUUGAUAUUGUUUCUUUGGCAGGCAGUGACACUGUUGAAAUUGUAAGACCAUUUCCUCUCUUUCUAUUUCUUUACUCUUGCUCUUCUUUGUCUGCAUGUUGAGGUAUUGUUGGCUUUUAUAUUUGAAGAUUUUGAGAGUAGGGAAAACUCUUUUUUUCAUCUUAUCACAUCAAUGAUUAG
Molecule: long non-coding RNA, 378 nt
Filed under: Carica papaya (papaya)
Lineage: Eukaryota; Viridiplantae; Streptophyta; Magnoliopsida; Brassicales; Caricaceae
Description: long non-coding RNA (CPAP_LNC005493)
Source: RNAcentral